Molecule: ribosomal RNA, 130 nt
Filed under: Escherichia coli
Lineage: Bacteria; Pseudomonadati; Pseudomonadota; Gammaproteobacteria; Enterobacterales; Enterobacteriaceae
Also listed under: 1 other name
Description: partial 16S ribosomal RNA
Rfam family: Bacterial small subunit ribosomal RNA
Source: RNAcentral
UGCAAAAGAAGUAGGUAGCUUAACCUUCGGGAGGGCGCUUACCACUUUGUGAUUCAUGACUGGGGUGAAGUCGUAACAAGGUAACCGUAGGGGAACCUGCGGUUGGAUCACCUCCUUACCUUAAAGAGGC